AACGCACACCAAGCAAAUUGAACGCACACCAAGUCUAAAUGGAUAAGAAUGCUAAGAUUUUUUUGCAAAAGAAAGAUAUUUUCUUUUAGGUUCCCAAUUGGCAGUACAAAGUCAGAAAUAUCAACAACAUAAAGGAAAGCAGGGAGAAGCAUCUUCCAUUGCCGUAACUCUCUUUAUCAUCAUUGGAAAAAAAGGGCUUAAUUAGGAGAAAAAAGAAAGAAAAAUGGAGUUCCAUGGGAGGCCACACAGGAGUGACAUUCAUUUAUCAGCAGAGGAAGAAGCAAAAAUUCAAGAGGAAACAAAAGAAUAUUUUGAUGGAUUGGCUGCAAAGCGUCACUCUAAGCCUCAACGCAGUGAGUUUUCUGCUCAAUAUGUGGAUGCUUUACCCUUCACCAAUUCUCUUCCAUCUUCCAUCCCUGAACUUGUUAAGUUUCAACGUCUCGAAAAUGAUCCUCAGAAGCUAGUUUGCAAUGGAAAUGGCCAAGUUGGGGAGGAUUUUGUGGAGACAGAGUACUACAAGGAUCUCAACUGCAUUGACAAGAAGCACCACACGACAGGAACAGGGUUCAUUAAAAUGGAGAAUAUCAAUGGAAAAUCCUUCAGCUUAGCACCAGAUCCGGUAUCCUGUUGCCAUGCUUCUUGCAGAGGAAACCCAGCAACUAAUGAAUGGAUUCCAGCAGCUGCCAAUACUGUCACUUUGGCUUCAGACAAGCCCAAAAGGAGUGACAAUUGAAAGGCAGGGUGACUGGGUGAUGUGUUGUCUUCAAGUUAAGACCUAGCUAGAUAUUGCAAAUGUUCUCUACCUUAUCUCUUAUGGUCACUCUGUGACAAAGAAUGUUUAUCAUUGUCGCCACUAAGGUAGUUCAUAUGCUAAAUAUAUACGGUUAUAAUUGCAGUGUACUUGGAUGCUUGUGGUGUUUGAAUGUUAAUUCUAGCUUCUGAAUAAG
This 947-nucleotide unclassified non-coding RNA is filed under the name Hevea brasiliensis (rubber tree). The record is from RNAcentral. Lineage: Eukaryota; Viridiplantae; Streptophyta; Magnoliopsida; Malpighiales; Euphorbiaceae.